Molecule: ribosomal RNA, 497 nt
Filed under: uncultured bacterium
Lineage: Bacteria
Description: partial 16S ribosomal RNA
Rfam family: Bacterial small subunit ribosomal RNA
Source: RNAcentral
GACGAACGCUGGCGGCGUGCCUAAUACAUGCAAGUUGAGCGAUGAAGCUUGGUGCUUGCACCAAUUUGAAGAGCAGCGAACGGGUGAGUAACGCGUGGGGAAUCUGCCUUUGAGCGGGGGACAACAUUUGGAAACGAAUGCUAAUACCGCAUAACAACUUUAAACAUAAGUUUUAAGUUUGAAAGAUGCAAUUGCAUCACUCAAAGAUGAUCCCGCGUUGUAUUAGCUAGUUGGUGAGGUAAAGGCUCACCAAGGCGAUGAUACAUAGCCGACCUGAGAGGGUGAUCGGCCACAUUGGGACUGAGACACGGCCCAAACUCCUACGGGAGGCAGCAGUAGGGAAUCUUCGGCAAUGGACGAAAGUCUGACCGAGCAACGCCGCGUGAGUGAAGAAGGUUUUCGGAUCGUAAAACUCUGUUGGUAGAGAAGAACGUUGGUGAGAGUGGAAAGCUCAUCGAGUGACGGUAACUACCCAGAAAGGGACGGCUAACUACGUG